Non-coding RNA from Kogia breviceps (pygmy sperm whale), 72 nucleotides. The record is from the annotation of a RefSeq genome assembly. NCBI's taxonomy places the organism in Eukaryota, Metazoa, Chordata, Mammalia, Artiodactyla, Physeteridae.
GGGGGUGUAGCUCAGUGGUAGACAGCGUGCUUAGCAUGCAUGAGGUCCUGGGUUCAAUUCCCAGCACCUCCG